GGGCUAGCGUUGUCCGGAAUCAUUGGGCGUAAAGAGCGUGUAGGCGGUCCGGUAAGUCCGCUGUGAAAGUCGGGGGCUCAACCCUCGAAUGCCGGUGGAUACUGUCGGGCUAGAGUGCGGAAGAGGCGAGUGGAAUUCCUGGCGUAGCGGUGAAAUGCGCAGAUAUCAGGAGGAACACCUAUUGCGAAGGCAGCUCGCUGGGACGUAACUGACGCUGAGACGCGAAAGCGUGGGGAGCAAACAGG
This 245-nucleotide ribosomal RNA is filed under the name uncultured bacterium. Its description in RNAcentral is "partial 16S ribosomal RNA". It matches the Rfam family "Bacterial small subunit ribosomal RNA", at positions 532 to 776 of the family's 1533-position model. The record is from RNAcentral.